UUUCAACGCACUUUGUAGGGCAUCGUUGAUCGAGACUUUCCUCGAUUUCCCUCGCAUUUUGUUGAAGCAUCGUGCGUCCCAGGAAUGAUCUUCUGGACAAUUCCCGUCCAAUUGUAGUUGUUGGUUUUACUUCACGAAAAUGGCUGGCUCUCAAACUUUCGGGUUCUCGCGGUGAAGUGGGGUGUGCGUGUGUGCCGGGAACUGAAUCUUCUCGGGAAUUAGCAUCAUUCUUGUCGUUGAUAGAGGUAUUGUGGCGAUGGCGACGCCAAUUAGAGAUUCCCGGUGGAGCGAAUUAUUCAGAAAAUUUCAGAAAUUGGGCUUCUUUUAUGAUGGUUUGACUAUCAGGGGCGCCAAUCUGCGCAGGACCCUUGCCUCAUGUCUUAGUCCGAUUUUAAGCAAUUGCAAAGGAAAUCGCCACGGUCGGUAGUCGAUUUUAAUGUCGUAGCUUUGGAUUCCGAACCUUUGUAGAGGGAAUUCUGAGGUCGGUUUUUGGCGUUGAUUUAGUAAAGUUUUAAACGUCUGAUCUAGAUGUUGGUUCACAUUCGUGUUAAAUCGCUGCUCCUGGAUUCUCUGUGUAUGCUCGCUGCUAUUGUGAGUAUGUUUUACGUCUUUUGAGAAGAGCCUUUUGAAAAUUACAAUCACCUCUGCAAAGAGCGACCAAAAAAUGAUUGGAACUCUUGACCUAAGAAAUUAUUCUUGAAUUCGUGGUCCUGAACACAUCACUUGCAGUCGUGUUUAUUGAUUCAACGCUGGCAACGUCAUAGCUUGCUUGGUCAUUGACUUCGCAUGCUACUUUAGUGGGUUGGAUUUCAUGACUUUUCAUUAGUAGUAACUAUGGUGCAUCAGCUUUAUCAAGGGAGGGAAAAUGACGCAACACGUCUUUUGUGAAUAUUGAAUCUGUCAGCAGGGACGUAGCAGAACAGACAACGUAACCGUGUGAUAACAGAUUGUUGACAAAAUGCACUUCAGGAAUUUUGAAGAAUAUUGGCCUUUCUAUGUCAAUCAACACACAAAAAUAUCGACACGAAGAUGGCACUUCUGUGCGACCGGCUUAGCAGCUGUAUUUACCAUAGCUGGAAUUGUAAUAAAAUGGUGGCUUCUGUUCUUUGCUCCUCUGUUUGGGUUCGGGCUUGCUUGGUACAGCCAUUUCUUCAUUGAAGGCAACAAACCGGGCUCUUUCGGUCACCCUAUAUGGUCCUUCAUUUGCGACUACAAGAUGUUUAUCUUGAUGCUCACUGGCCGGAUGGAUCGUGAAAUAAAGCGGCUAGGGAAAAGGCCCAUGCUUCAGGAGGAUGAAUACAUGGUCGGAAGGAGAUACUUCGAUGCCAAGCAAGAAAAUAGGAUUGUUCUACGGCGACAAACCCCCCGAGGCCGUUGAAGCUCUCAGUUGUAGGAUGGUAGACGAUUCUUGGAGUUGUGCAUUAUGGAAUGGAGCGGGCUUGUUAGUUGUACACAACCUUUCAGCUGGGCAUUUCUGUGAACAAAUCUCAGAACCUGAGCAUUUGAAGAUGUCACUCGGUGGCUUUCCCCUUGCUCGACUUAUCGCCAACCCACGGAAGAAUGUCGUAGUCACAAAUCAGUACUUCAAUGUUCUAUGUGCAAGUUGCAACGAGAUCGGAGGGCAGUUUUCAUCACAACUUUGCCCGAGGAUACUAUGAUAAAUGGAAGCGCCAUCGAAAGUACUCCCAUGCAUUUUUGGCGUGAUCUGCUUCUGCUCACGUAAGUGCUUGUAGAAUCACCGGACUCGUCUUAGCUUCAAUACUUGACAAUUGAGGUCGAAAUUGAGAUUCAGGAUGUAAUUUUUCAACUAUCCUGAGAUGUAAGCAAAGAUCCCACUCAACCUGAUUUCGAAGUAUAGCAAGACGUUUCCUACAUUCUGAAUCAAAUACUAUGAAGAAUUAAUUUCAGUCUGCGUAUUAA
Physcomitrium patens is the source of this 1920-nucleotide RNA transcript. RefSeq lists it as uncharacterized. NCBI's taxonomy places the organism in Eukaryota, Viridiplantae, Streptophyta, Bryopsida, Funariales, Funariaceae. The record is from RefSeq and is a predicted model, not a curated record.